UACGAGGGGGGCGAGCGUUGUUCGGAAUUAUUGGGUUUAAAGGGUGCGUAGGCGGUCUUAUAAGUCAGUGCUGAAAUAUCCCGGCUUAACCGGGAGGGUGGCAUUGAUACUGCAGGGCUUGAGUAUGGGAGAGGUGAGUGGAAUUCCUGGUGUAGCGGUGAAAUGCGUAGAUAUCAGGAGGAACACCUGUGGCGAAAGCGGCUCACUGGACCAUUACUGACGCUGAGGCUCGAAAGCUAGGGGAGCAAACAGG
This 253-nucleotide ribosomal RNA is filed under the name uncultured bacterium. RNAcentral describes it as "partial 16S ribosomal RNA". It matches the Rfam family "Bacterial small subunit ribosomal RNA", at positions 524 to 776 of the family's 1533-position model. The record is from RNAcentral.